Non-coding RNA from Mycobacterium celatum, 58 nucleotides. The record is from Rfam. Lineage: Bacteria; Bacillati; Actinomycetota; Actinomycetes; Mycobacteriales; Mycobacteriaceae.
GGCGGUCUUCGGUAGUGGCGGCCGGGGCUUUCUCCGGCCGCUUCGAUCGACGGCCGUA